GCAAGUCGAGCGCACCCUUCGGGGCGAGCGGCGGACGGGUUAGUAACGCGUGGGAACAUACCCUUCACUAUGGAAUAGCCUCUGGAAACGGAGAGUAAUACCUUAUACGCCCUUUGGGGGAAAGAUUUAUCGGAGAAGGAUUAGCCCGCGUUAGAUUAGGUAGUUGGUGGGGUAAUGGCCUACCAAGUCUACGAUCUAUAGCUGGUUUUAGAGGAUGAUC
This 220-nucleotide ribosomal RNA is filed under the name uncultured bacterium. RNAcentral describes it as "partial 16S ribosomal RNA". It matches the Rfam family "Bacterial small subunit ribosomal RNA", at positions 57 to 305 of the family's 1533-position model. The record is from RNAcentral.